GUGGAACCAGGAGGAGGAGGAGGAGGAGGAGGGGUGACUUUAAUCCUCAACUUUCCACCCCCAAGCUGUCCCCUGAGAUGAAGAAUGCUUGCAGAUGAAAGAAUGAAAAAAGACGAGUCAUACUGAGGACAGCUCCUGCUGCGCUCAGGCCACCACACUGCACACUGGUUGACUGGCCACUACUUAUCUACAGGGGACGUUAAAUGAGUCAAAGUGGCAGCGGAGGAAGACGGGGGUGACAGAGAAGAACAUCAAGGAAGUUGAGGCACCGACUGAGACCAAGCAACAUCGUAGGCACAGGAAGUAGGCGUGAGCUUGACAUGACAGGCCCUGGCACUUUGACAUGUACUAAAAGGUCUAGACUGGACACAUCAAAACAGAGGAAACUGAGAGGGCAGAGAGGCGAGAUAGAGAUGACAGGAGUAGUGGAUUCCUUCCACAUGGCAGUUUUUGACAGACAAAUGAGCUAAACGAACCCUCUUAGUGUUAACUGCAUAACUCCGCCCCCCUGCUGGGAUCUGUCCCUACAAUUGGAGCACAGGUGUGAUGAGUGAUUUGAUUCAAGGAGAAACUAAUUGUAAGAGGAGAAAGCAUUUAAGGAUUAUGAAGUCCCACACUGUUUUUUAAACUUGACUCCAUGACUAGUGUGGCCAGACAAUGUAGACAGUUUCUUUCAUUGGUCUUUCUGAGAAGCCUAAACUAUCUAUAUUAUCAGCUAAAUGGGUAUCAAAUGCUGUACUGGACAUUUUUGAGUAUAUUUUUGUUAACCCAGAUAAAAUAAUUAAUUUUUUUAGCUUUACCUAUGACAGCCUAAUGGUACUUUUUGACCGCAGAAAGAACUUUAUCUUCAUUUCGACCAUAGGAUCCUACUUUCACUUUAGGUUCUUGGGUCAUAGCUCUUGCCCAACAAAGGUCUCUUUUGGACUCCCCAUGGAUGUAUUUCUGGGACCAUUUUAUUAUUUUGAAUAAUUAUUCAAUAAAGUUCCUGAGUGUCUUUGACCUCUGUAAUGUGACCCACAUCUGAGUCAACCUAAUAUGUGAGUGUAGUUAAGAGAGGGAUUUGAUCACCUCUUUCAGAUUUGAAUUUUCUUUAUUUCUUUUUUUUUUUGUACAUGCAUUUGGUGUAUACCAAUAGAUAACUGAACAGUUAGCACAAGGUCACAGGAUUAGAACUUGGAGAAUGUAUUUUUAAUUACACUACAUUCAUGUAUUAGCUAUAUUAUUAAACGUGAGCUAAAUUGGUUACCUCAGUAAUAUCACUUGAUGUGU
Thunnus maccoyii (southern bluefin tuna) is the source of this 1269-nucleotide long non-coding RNA. RefSeq lists it as uncharacterized. Lineage: Eukaryota; Metazoa; Chordata; Actinopteri; Scombriformes; Scombridae. The transcript has 3 exons. The record is from RefSeq and is a predicted model, not a curated record.